ACUCCUACGGGAGGCAGCAGUGGGGAAUAUUGCACAAUGGGCGCAAGCCUGAUGCAGCCAUGCCGCGUGUAUGAAGAAGGCCUUCGGGUUGUAAAGUACUUUCAGCAGUGAGGAAGGCGAGUACGUUAAUAGCGUGCUCGUUUGACGUUAGCUGCAGAAGAAGCACCGGCUAACUCCGUGCCAGCAGCCGCGGUAAUACGGAGGGGUGCGAGCGUUAAUCGGAAUUACUGGGCGUAAAGCGCAUGCAGGUGGUUUGUUAAGUCAGAUGUGAAAGCCCGGGGCUCAACCUCGGAAUUGCAUUUGAAACUGGCAGACUAGAGUACUGUAGAGGGGGUAGAAUUUCAGGUGUAGCGGUGAAAUGCGUAGAGAUCUGAAGGAAUACCGAGUGGCGAAGGCGGCCCCCUGGACAAAGACUGACGCUCA
This 423-nucleotide ribosomal RNA is filed under the name uncultured bacterium. RNAcentral describes it as "bacterial SSU rRNA". It matches the Rfam family "Bacterial small subunit ribosomal RNA", at positions 335 to 749 of the family's 1533-position model. The record is from RNAcentral.